RNAcentral lists this ribosomal RNA (1959 nucleotides) under activated sludge metagenome. Its description in RNAcentral is "bacterial LSU rRNA". It matches the Rfam family "Bacterial large subunit ribosomal RNA", at positions 494 to 2462 of the family's 2925-position model. The record is from RNAcentral.
ACAAGUACCGUGAGGGAAAGGUGAAAAGAACCCCAAAUAGGGGAGUGCAAUAGUACCUGAAACCAUACGCCUACAAGCGGUCGGAGCCUGAAAGGGUGACGGCGUGCCUUUUGCAUAAUGAGCCUACGAGUUACUGCUCACUGGCAAGGUUAAGAACUUAGAGGUUCGGAGCCGUAGCGAAAGCGAGUUCGAAUAGAGCGUAUAGUCGGUGGGCGUAGACGCGAAACCUGCGUGAUCUAUCCAUGGUCAGGGUGAAGUUGCUGUAACAGGCAAUGGAGGUCCGAACCAGUUUACGUUGAAAAGUAUUUGGAUGAACUGUGGAUAGGGGUGAAAGGCCAAUCAAACUGGGAGAUAGCUCGUACUCCCCGAAAUGCCUUUAGGGGCAGCCUUGUGGUUGAGUGUUGUAGAGGUAGAGCUACCGAUUGGACUAGGGGGUUUCAUCGCCUACCAAAUCCUGACGAACUCCGAAUGCUAUUACACAUACACAGGAGUGAGGCUGCGGGUGCUAAGGCCCGUGGUCGAGAGGGGAACAACCCAGACCAUCAGCUAAGGUCCCCAAAUGUAUGCUAAGUUGAAUAAACGUGGUGCGGCUGCUAAGACAGCUAGGAUGUUUGCUUGGAAGCAGCAAUUCAUUUAAAGAGUGCGUAACAGCUCACUAGUCGAGUGGUCGUGCGCGGAAAAUAAUCGGGCAUCAAGCAUACUACCGAAGCUAUGGAUUUACGAAAGUAAGUGGUAGGGGAGCAUUCUGGUCAGCGUAGAAGGUGAGCUGUGAGGCUUGCUGGAGCGGUCAGAAAAGCAAAUGUAGGCAUAAGUAACGAUAAAGCGGGUGAAAAACCCGCUCACCGUAAGAACAAGGUUUCCUGAUCAACGUUAAUCGGAUCAGGGUUAGUCGGGGACUAAGGAUAACCCGCGAGGGGAAGCCGAUGUAAAACGGGUUAAUAUUCCCGUACCUGCGUAUAAUGUGACGUAGUGACGAAGGAGCGAAACUGCUGCGUACUGACGGAAUAGUACGUUAAAGAGAGGUAGGCUAUGAGGGUAUAGGCAAAUCCGUACUUGAGCUGAGACUUGAUAGUACCGCGACGCAUUAGCGAAGUGGAUAAUGCAGGGUAGCCGACUUCCGAGAAAAGCUGCUAAACUUAGUUAUACGGAGCCCGUACCGGAAACCGACACAGGUGUUCGAGGAGAAUAUCCUCAGGUGCUCGAGUGAUUCACGGCUAAGGAACUCGGCAAAUUGGUCUCGUAACUUCGGGAGAAGAGACGCCUACCCCUGCGAAGGGGAGGCCGCAGAGCAUAGGCCCAGGCGACUGUUUAACAAAAACACAGGACACUGCGAAAUCGGAAGAAGAAGUAUAGUGUCUGACACCUGCCCGGUGCUGGAAGGUUAAGGGAGGGGGUUAGCGCAAGCGAAGCUCUUGACUGAAGCCCCAGUAAACGGCGGCCGUAACUAUAACGGUCCUAAGGUAGCGAAAUUCCUUGUCGGGUAAGUUCCGACCUGCACGAAUGGUGUAACGAUCUGGGCACUGUCUCAGCCAUGAGCUCGGUGAAAUUGUAGUAUCGGUGAAGAUGCCGAUUACCCGCAACGGGACGGAAAGACCCCGUGAACCUUCACUAUAGCUUAGUAUUGUAUUUGGUUAAAUGAUGUGUAGGAUAGGUGGGAGACUAAGAAGCUGGUACGCUAGUAUUGGUGGAGUCGUCGUUGAAAUACCACCCUUUGUUUAAUUAGAUACUAACUUGUCAUUAGACGAGGACAGUGCUUGGUGGGUAGUUUGACUGGGGUGGUCGCCUCCAAAAGUGUAACGGAGGCUUCCAAAGGUUUCCUCAGCAUGGACGGUAAUCAUGCGUAGAGCGUAUUAGUAUAAGGAAGCUUGACUGCGAGACCGACAAGUCGAGCAGGGACGAAAGUCGGGUAAAGUGAUCCGGUGGUUCUGCAUGGAAGGGCCAUCGCUCAAAGGAUAAAAG